GGAGAUGUAGCUUAGUGGUAGAGUGCUUGCUUAGCAUGCACAAGGCCCUGGGUUCAAUCCCCAGCACUGCAA
Non-coding RNA from Heterocephalus glaber (naked mole-rat), 72 nucleotides. The record is from Rfam. NCBI's taxonomy places the organism in Eukaryota, Metazoa, Chordata, Mammalia, Rodentia, Bathyergidae.